RNAcentral lists this ribosomal RNA (506 nucleotides) under uncultured bacterium. RNAcentral's name for it is "partial 16S ribosomal RNA". It matches the Rfam family "Bacterial small subunit ribosomal RNA", at positions 30 to 523 of the family's 1533-position model. The record is from RNAcentral.
AUUGAACGCUGGCGGCAGGCCUAACACAUGCAAGUCGAACGGUAACAGGAAACAGCUUGCUGUUUCGCUGACGAGUGGCGGACGGGUGAGUAAUGUCUGGGAAACUGCCUGAUGGAGGGGGAUAACUACUGGAAACGGUAGCUAAUACCGCAUAACGUCGCAAGACCAAAGAGGGGGACCUUCGGGCCUCUUGCCAUCGGAUGUGCCCAGAGGGGAUUAGCUAGUUGGUGGGGUAACGGCUCACCAAGGCGACGAUCCCUAGCUGUUCUGAGAGAAUGACCAGCCACACUGGAACUGAGACACUGUCCAGACUCCUACGGGAGGCAGCAGUGGGGAAUAUUGCACAAUGGGCGCAAGCCUGAUGCAGCCAUGCCGCGUGUAUGAAGAAGGCCUUCGGGUUGUAAAGUACUUUCAGCGGGGAGGAAGGGAGUAAAGUUAAUACCUUUGCUCAUUGACGUUACCCGCAGAAGAAGCACCGGCUAACUCCGUGCCAGCAGCCGCCGUAA